CAGGAUGAACGCUGGCGGUCUGCUUAACACAUGCAAGUCGAACGCAGACUUCGGGUUGAGUGGCGGACGGGUGAGUAACGCGUGAGAAUCUGCCUUGGGGUCGGGGACAACCACUGGAAACGGUGGCUAAUACCGGAUAAGCCUAUGGGUAAAAGAUCCAUUGCCCCAAGAGGAGCUCGCGUCUGAUUAGCUAAUUCGGUGAGGUAAAAGCUCACCACUGCCGCGAUCAGUAUCUGGUCUGAGAUGACGAUCAGUCACACUGGGACUGAGACACGGCCCAUACUCCUACGGGAUUGCAGCAGUGGGGAAUUCUCCGCAAUGGGCGAAAGCCUGACGGAGCAAUACCGCGUGAGGGAGGAAGGCUCUAGGGUUGUACACCUCUUUUCUCAUGGAAGACGCUCUGACGGUACCUGAUGAAUCAGCCUCGGCUAACUCCGUGCCAUCAGCCGCGGUAAUACGGAGGAGGCAAGCGUAAUCCGGAAUCAUCGGGCGUAAAGCGUCCGCAGGUGGCGAUUCACGUCUGCUGUCCAAGCACGGGGCUUAACUCCGUUAAGGCAAUGGAAACUGAAUAGCUAGAGUGCCGUAGGGGUAGCGGGAAUUCCCGAGUGUAUCGUGUGAAAUGCGUAUUAGCAUCGGGAUGAACAUCGGAUGGCGGAAAGCGCUCUACUGGACGGUGACUGCCACUCAUCGGACGACGGCUAUCGGAGCGAAUGGGAUUAGAUACCCCAGUAGUCGCUAGCUGUUAACGAUGGAUACUAGAGGUAGCCUGUCUCGACCCGAGCUAUGCUGAAGCUUACGCGUUAAGUAUCCCGCCUCGGGUGUACGCACGCAGGUAUGCAACUCAAAGGAACAGUCGGGGGCCCGCACAACCGGUGGAGCAUGGGGGGCAAAUCGAAGCGACGCGACGAGCCGUACCAGGGCAUGACACGUCCGGAAUCCCGGUGAAAGCUGGGAGUGCCUUCGGGAGCCGGAACACAGUUGGCGCAUGGCUGUUCGUCAGCUCAUGUCGUGAGAUGUUGGGUUAAGUCCCCCAACGAGCGCGACCCUCGUCUUUAGUAGCCAGCAUUAAGUUGGGCACUCUAGAGAGACUGCCGGUGACAAACCCGGAGGAAGGUGGGGUUGA
RNAcentral lists this ribosomal RNA (1123 nucleotides) under uncultured organism. Its description in RNAcentral is "bacterial SSU rRNA". It matches the Rfam family "Bacterial small subunit ribosomal RNA", at positions 25 to 1182 of the family's 1533-position model. The record is from RNAcentral.